CCUACGGGUGGCAGCAGUCGAGAAUCAUUCACAAUGGGGGAAACCCUGAUGGUGCGACGCCGCGUGGGGGAAUGAAGGUCUUCGGAUUGUAAACCCCUGUCAUGUGGGAGCAAAUUAAAAAGAUAGUACCACAAGAGGAAGAGACGGCUAACUCUGUGCCAGCAGCCGCGGUAAAACAGAGGUCUCAAGCGUUGUUCGGAAUCACUGGGCGUAAAGCGUGCGUAGGCUGUUUCGUAAGUCGUGUGUGAAAGGCCCGGGCUCAACCCGCGAACUGCAGAUGAUACUGCGUGACUAGAGUAAUGGAGGGGGAACCGGAAUUCUCGGUGUAGCAGUGAAAUGCGUAGAUAUCGAGAGGAACACUCGUGGCGAAGGCGGGUUCCUGGACAUUAACUGACGCUGAGGCACGAAGGCCAGGGGAGCGAAAGGGAUUAGAUACCCCUGUAGUC
This 446-nucleotide ribosomal RNA is filed under the name uncultured bacterium. RNAcentral's name for it is "partial 16S ribosomal RNA". It matches the Rfam family "Bacterial small subunit ribosomal RNA", at positions 338 to 795 of the family's 1533-position model. The record is from RNAcentral.